GCCAGGCAUGGUGGCGCGUGCCUGUAAUCCCAGCUACUCAGGAGGCUGAGGCAGGAGAAUUGCUUGAACCUAGGAGGCAGAGGUUGCAGUGAGCCAAGAUCACACCACUGCACUCCAGCCUGGGUGACAGAGUGAGACUCCGUCUCAA
RNAcentral lists this non-coding RNA (148 nucleotides) under Pan troglodytes (chimpanzee). Lineage: Eukaryota; Metazoa; Chordata; Mammalia; Primates; Hominidae. The record is from Rfam by way of RNAcentral.